This 402-nucleotide ribosomal RNA is filed under the name bacterium. RNAcentral's name for it is "partial 16S ribosomal RNA". It matches the Rfam family "Bacterial small subunit ribosomal RNA", at positions 355 to 776 of the family's 1533-position model. The record is from RNAcentral.
UGGGGAAUUUUGCACAAUGGGGGAAACCCUGAUGCAGCGACGCCGCGUGAUUUAGAAGGCCUUCGGGUUGUAAAAAUCUUUUCUAUGGGAAGAAAAUGACAGUACCAUAGGAAUAAGGACCGGCUAAUUACGUGCCAGCAGCCGCGGCAAUACGUAAGGUCCGAGCGUUGUCCGGAAUCAUUGGGCGUAAAGGGUACGUAGGCGGGUAAGCAAGUUAGAAGUGAAAUCCUAUAGCUCAACUAUAGUAAGCUUUUAAAACUGCUCAUCUUGAGGUAUGGAAGGGAAAGUGGAAUUCCUAGUGUAGCGGUGAAAUGCGCAGAUAUUAGGAGGAAUACCGGUGGCGAAGGCGACUUUCUGGCCAUAACCUGACGCUGGGGUACGAAAGCGUGGGUAGCAAACAGG